This 373-nucleotide ribosomal RNA is filed under the name uncultured organism. RNAcentral describes it as "bacterial SSU rRNA". It matches the Rfam family "Bacterial small subunit ribosomal RNA", at positions 526 to 896 of the family's 1533-position model. The record is from RNAcentral.
CGAAGGGUGCAAGCGUUACUCGGAAUUACUGGGCGUAAAGCGUGCGUAGGUGGUGAGUUAAGUCUGUCGUGAAAGCCCCGGGCUCAACCUGGGAAUGGCGAUGGAUACUGGCUCGCUAGAGUGCGGUAGAGGGUGGUGGAAUUCCCGGUGUAGCAGUGAAAUGCGUAGAGAUCGGGAGGAACAUCAGUUGCGAAGGCGGACCACCUGGACCAGCACUGACACUGAGGCACGAAAGCGUGGGGAGCAAACAGGAUUAGAUACCCUGGUAGUCCACGCCCUAAACGAUGCGAACUGGACGUUGGGAGCAACUAGGCUCUCAGUGUCGAAGCUAACGCGUUAAGUUCGCCGCCUGGGGAGUACGGUCGCAAGACUG